This is a long non-coding RNA of Pseudopipra pipra, 1436 nucleotides long. RefSeq lists it as uncharacterized. The transcript has 3 exons. Lineage: Eukaryota; Metazoa; Chordata; Aves; Passeriformes; Pipridae. The record is from RefSeq and is a predicted model, not a curated record.
AACACUACUUACAGCAGGCAUUUGACAGGUAUUCCUAUGCUUACUGUCACUUGCCAAUUGCCACCAUAAGCAAAAUAGACUUGAUCUGAGGAAAAUUAAUUCAUUACCAAUUAAUAUAGUUGCAUGGUGAGAAACAAAGACUUGAAUCCCUUCCUCCCACUCCUUCCCAGACUUCUUCCCUCCUUUGUUACCAACUCUUCUACCUCCCUGCUUCCACCUCCUCUCGAUGUUCACAGGGCUGUUUUUCCCUCACACUCUGUCGUGCAGUGUUUUCUCCCAUCUUAAGCACAUUUUGCCGAGGUGCCCCCACCUCGGCUGUGGGCUCGGCCCUGCCCUGCGGUGGGUGGGUUGGAGCCAGGUGGAAUCACCAGUGUCUGGCACGGAGCUCCCUCACAGAGCCUUGCUGCAGCCCCCGGGGUGCCAACACCCCGUACAUCAGUGUCUGGUUUCAUGUGGUACAAAUAAGCUUGUGAGUCUCUCAGCGGGUUUCCAAACGGGUCGUGGGGAUCACUGGGAGCUGCUGGUGGCCUUGGAGCUACUCAUGUGUGGUGGUCACAGCUUUGAGGUCCAGCAGGGGGAAGUUCACGUUCCAGAGGAGGUGUGUAGGAGCUGAACACCUGAUCCCUGCCCGGGCACUGCUGGUGCAGGGGAGUUCUGGGCAGGCUGCACUCGGAACCCGAAAUUCGGAGUUGCAUUAAACCUCAAUCUUGCUCCUAGGAAAAACUCUUCUAUUUGCUGCGGGGGAAAUUUUCAUUCGUAGGCAACUCCUCGGCGUGUUCCCGGGCUCCCUUUCAACACCGCAGGAACUGUGGGCAUGGAAUUAGCCUGACCUUACUUUUCCUGCCCCCAGGUGGGGCUCUGCUCUUUCGGCAAGUGCCCUCUGUGGGCACUGGCGGGAUGGAGAUGGUGCAGCGUGGAGCAAUUCUCAGCCAUACAGCCCGAAAAAUACCACCUGCGUGGGAAGGACCUGAAGGACCUGAAGCCUGAUUUGUACUGUCUUGCACAUACGACAUGAACAAAUGAGUCUCAUGCUGAAAACAUCAGUAGAGAAGAAGCCAAGUUACAUUUCACAAACUGUUUUACAUUAUCUGCAAGAAAGGUCUGUGUAAGAGGGUUUAAGGGACAGAGAGAAUAGGUAGGGAACCAAACAGGCCUUGAAACAGUGGCUCAGCCAGAGGCCUCUGAGAUAACGCAGGAAUCCACUAAAAGACCUUGGGCAGCCUGGGAAGGAGAGAAAAGAAGCUGCUAAUUCCUGCGGAGGAAUACCUGUGAUGAGUACCUGCACUUAAAGAUAAAAAUAAGAUAGAGAAAACUGUUUUAAGCUAACACCACUUAUAGAAUAUAUACUGGUAUAUAUUUAACAAUAGUAGUGUGUUAUUAAAAGGUUUGAAAGGAGUGUGUAAAUUUAAAAAAUGUGUGUAACAGUAUAAAAAGUA